AAGGAUCUUUAUUUCUGAGCUAGUGAAGCAGAUGUAAUCAAGGGAGAGUGAAAUAAUCAUAAUGGGAGGAAAGGGGGAGGGGAGACAGGCCUAGGACGGAGCUGGGAAUUGGGGGGUAGGGAACUUGGAGUGGGGGCAGCUCCCUACUUUGGAAUGAAGGGGCACUGUCUCAAGACUCUGACACCUUAACCCUCAGAAUCCCUCCUUGGGCUUACGGAUGCCUGGGCCAGAAGGUGGCUGGGAAGACAGGGGAAGGCCCCCCUACUCCUUGAAGGAAGAAUUGAGGGAGGAGGGCAAGAGAUACGAGCCAGCCAGCCGACAGAGACUCAAGUGGCCUCCAGGCUGGCCUGGAGGAACAAUAGUGUCCUUUAGCCCUUUCUUCCUCCAUGGGUUAGAAAGGGUAGCAGAAAACAGUGUGGAGAUGGCGAAGACACCCCUCGCCCAAGGGACAGCAGCAAGAGAAAGAAAGAGGCGAGCGGAAUUCCUGAAUGGAUAG
Molecule: long non-coding RNA, 496 nt
Filed under: Nannospalax galili (Upper Galilee mountains blind mole rat)
Lineage: Eukaryota; Metazoa; Chordata; Mammalia; Rodentia; Spalacidae
Description: lncRNA (ENSNGAG00000024396.1)
Source: RNAcentral